CUAGAUUUCUGCUUUCUACAUCACAAUUUGCUAUCGAUUCUCAUUCUUGGUUCAAGUUAACCUAACUUCUAAAAUUUUCAUUUUUAAAAGCCUCUACCGGUUGGAGUGAAUUGAAAAUCGAAUUUGGUGACACCAGGUGAAAGAUCCAAUACUAAAUUUAUUAAGACAGGAAAUCAACGAUAAAUUCAUCCAAUGACGAAAAUUCAUGAUGAAGGGUCUGGAAAAACAUCAGAGGUUCACCGCUCAACAAACUGAUUAAUCGGAGUUGCCACAUAUUCCAAGAGGAUUCAUGGCGGUGACUGGAGAUAUCUGGACAGUGGACUCUAUCGUGCCCCCCUCAUCAUUGACCACCACUACUUCUGCCGUUGGCAGUGUGUCUGCUACCUCACUUUGGGCGGACGAAGAGAGACUCAUGUUGAAAAGGAUAAUGUGUCAAAAAAUUUUAAAAAAGUGAAAGUUUGGCUAACAAGGCCUUUAGUGUGGACCACAAGAUAGGACUGUAAAAGUUAAGUGUUGUCACAAAGUUUUCGCCAAGGAUAACUAACAUAAAUGAACAUGUACGCCAAUUAAAAGCUUAUUGAUUGUAGCUUGUCAUAUUCUCAAACUGGCUUAUAUUUAAAAUAUGAGUGACUAGAUGAAAUUCAGCAUUUCAGGCCCAUAAAAUAUUCUGAAAUACAGUUUCAAAUAAUAAUACAAUUUUAUAAAAAAAUUUCUUCUUUGCUUAAAGCUAUUGAUUCCCAAAAAUAGUUUUCCAUACUUGCAACCCCAGUAAAUUCUUACUGCCUAUCAUCCAUUCACGACAAAUCUCAGUAUGUAUUGACUUGUCCAUAAUUGACAGCGAUAUACAGUCUUGAUUUACUCUCAAUAAUGAUUUUAUGAGCUCUGUUCUCAUCACCAGUCCCACGCUCAGGUGCCAUGUUUAUGUCACGUUAUUUCUUUCAAUAAGGGGUUGCCCUGCUUGGCCGCAGUCGAUAGAGCAUGAGUAAAAAAUUAUAUAACUCUUGUUGUGGUUCUUAGAAUAUAUAUUGUACCAAUUUCUUAUUGGCUUGCUCAGGAGCUCCCACAAUUCUCUGCUCUUGCCAUUUACUGACAUUGGCUGCUCCAACAGUUCACAAUUUCUGUGACUGAUUUGUAGAAAUCCGCAAGUAUGGAUGCAAGAGUUUGUGCUGCUACAACUUAAAGCUAUAAAUUUGAGACUCUUCUGGUCGAAUUUAAUGAUAUUGAAUAAUUUAAAUAAACCUCUGGAAUGUAUUAUUUCCAAAGAUUUGACUAUCAAGGCUGUAUCUUAA
Molecule: long non-coding RNA, 1289 nt
Organism: Nilaparvata lugens (brown planthopper)
Lineage: Eukaryota; Metazoa; Arthropoda; Insecta; Hemiptera; Delphacidae
Exons: 4
Source: RefSeq, a predicted model, not a curated record